ACCACCACCACCACCACCGCCAGCAGCAGCAGUACAACCACCCCUUGCGCAUGAUCAUCUCCUGAAACACACGCAACAGUGUCCUACAAAAAAGAAAGAGCCCUCACCGCGAGUGAGAGAUCCCGGGUGGGUGCGCACCCCAGCCAAAGCGCCGUGUCAGGGAGAGCCAAGCCGGCCUGAGGCAGACGGAAGAAGCUCCUCCUCCCCUUGUGGCGUGAAGACGUUGUAGGUCUUUGGUGAGGGGGAGGGGGUCGCAGCGCUAUUCCCAAGUAACCAGCAAGAGGAGGAAAUGUCCACGCGUUCUGCUGCUGCGCGGCUUUCACCAAGCGGCAGUCUGGAUAUCCUGUUGCACCAUGCUGUCUCCCCACAGUGGUGAAGACCCAGUGAGCAGUGGCUGUGUCGGGCGCCCGACUGCAGGCGGCCCCCUCAAUGGUUUCUCCCACCAUGAAGGCACUGGUGGAUGCUGUGUGGGCGGUAUGGAGCAUCGGGGCCUCCAUCUAUGACUACAUCCACACUAGCGCCAUGGAGGAGCGCAUACACACACUGGAGAAGGUUACCAGCAUCCACCAGUGUGCCAUUGGGCUGCUCUCGGCGGCCAUCUUGGUGCUCUUCUCUUACAUCUUCGUCAAGAAGAUUUGAGAGUGAAGCAGACUGUGGGGAUUCAAAUUAUGUUGCAAGGCUGAACAACUCCUGCUGAUUAAAGAACAUGCAACCUGCACUUCUUCAAACCGCACUCAGAGGUGUCCAGUCUGCAGGAGCGUGUAUUUGGAGGUGAACCUCUCUACGCUUUCGCCCUCCAGAAACUUCAUGGCUCUCCAGUGGAUCUUGCCGCAAUUCUCUGGCCGCCCGAGGGGUCCCAUCUCCUCCUGGAUGUACUCCAGCCACAGAUCUUGACAAUCGCACAGGUCAACAUGGAAAAAGAAUACUCAGAUCAACCCAAAAUUAGAAACUAUAGUGGUACUUCAGCGUAUGAGCGCUUCCCGUUACAAGUUAGUUACGAGUGCCAACUAUGGUGAAAGCAAACUUCACAACAAACAGAAGUUUUGUUAUAAUGAACAAUUCUGCCAAAAAGAUGCAAUGUGCUUGCGUCAAGCUGCUUAUUGCCACUCACAGUUGAAUUUUACUGUCAAACUAAACAUAAAACAAAUAGAAUGACAAGUUGUGUAUUUAAUCAAAGCACAUUAACUUGUUUUAUAAAAGUUUGCUUAAUGCUAGCAUUCAAGGCAAAACGCCAUACUGGCUAAUGAAACUACCAUCACUGUUGUGGCACUUCUAAUACUUUAAACAACUUGUAUUUGACCGCAAGCAGACAGAUCGUGCACCAAUGGUCACAGGCACAUAUUCUUUAUCCUCUGAGGAAAAACAACUGAUUUCAUUGCACUUUAGUUGAGACUGUCUUCUGUUUCAAUCAACAUCAGGUACUGUAUGCCUGUUUUAUACUGCCCCCUGGUGGCCAAUAUGAACAAACCAAAAUGAGUAGCAUACUGCAUAUUGAUUUGACACGAUGCGCAUAUUCAUUAAAUUCUAUUCAUGGACAUCAUUACUAUGAUUUGACAGAGUAAAAUAGGAUACUCGACAAGAUAGCACACAACCCGUAAAAACGGUCAAAAAUCUCGACGCUUCUGCUGAUUCACACACUUGCCCCUCAUUACUUGGAGCUUCCUAUUUCGCCCCUUGUUUUGCGGGCUAUGCUCCACACUUUCAGUUCAAAAAGAGAAAAAAUAUUGGAAUAUGGCUCCAAAAAGAGAAAAAAUAUUGGAAUAUGGCUCCAACAAGUAUGCUUCCAUCUCUGUUGGAACAAUUUGGGGAAGGCCGUUUUGUGCUCCACUGAAUAAAUGAGUCCUUUCAGGGACAGCGGUUACUACAGUGGACACAUUAUCAUGUUAUCAGGUUACAGGUUAUUAUUAUUUGUGCAUGAAAAGGUUAAAUAGGUUUAAACAAAGGGUGUGGAAGCCAACAUAGCAGGGACCAACUCCUUGUUUUCUCACAUUUUCACUUUCUGUUUGUUUAAUAGCCACAUGUCCCAAUUCUUUUUUUUUUUUCAUCCUUCUCACCCCCCUGGUUUUCUUAUUUAUCUGUUUAAAUAACAAUUUUAAAUAACGUGAUAAUGACAUCUUGAAAAUAAAUGGUUGGACUGACAGUACAGCGCCUGACGGACUAUUUGACCCAAACGCAUCUCACCUUCAUCAGAGGAGCCGAACUCUUGCAGGACCCUCUCGUAGUAGUCCCUCAGAUUGUCCAUCUUUGGGAUCUCCUGCAUGAACGACACCAUGUUAACUCAAAUCUCAAAAUAAAACCUCUGCCUCUUUUUUUUCCCCUCCUAGCA
Long non-coding RNA from Hippocampus comes (tiger tail seahorse), 2326 nucleotides. RefSeq lists it as uncharacterized. The record is from RefSeq and is a predicted model, not a curated record. Lineage: Eukaryota; Metazoa; Chordata; Actinopteri; Syngnathiformes; Syngnathidae. The transcript is spliced from 5 exons.